ACGUAGGUGGCAAGCGUUGUCCGGAUUUAUUGGGCGUAAAGGGAACGCAGGCGGUCCUUUAAGUCUGAUGUGAAAGCCUUCGGCUUAACCGAAGAAUUGCAUUGGAAACUGGAGGACUUGAGUGCAGAAGAGGAGAGUGGAACUCCAUGUGUAGCGGUGAAAUGCGUAGAUAUAUGGAAGAACACCAGUGGCGAAAGCUGCUCUCUGGUCUGCAACUGACGCUGAGGCUCGAAAGCAUGGGUAGCGAACAGGAUUAGAUACCCUGGUAGUCCAUGCCGUAAACGAUGAGUGCUAGGUGUUGGAGGGUUUCCGCCCUUCAGUGCCGGAGCUAACGCAUUAAGCACUCCGCCUGGGGAGUACGACCGCAAGGUUG
RNAcentral lists this ribosomal RNA (373 nucleotides) under uncultured bacterium. RNAcentral's name for it is "bacterial SSU rRNA". It matches the Rfam family "Bacterial small subunit ribosomal RNA", at positions 525 to 896 of the family's 1533-position model. The record is from RNAcentral.